Molecule: ribosomal RNA, 468 nt
Filed under: uncultured bacterium
Lineage: Bacteria
Description: partial 16S ribosomal RNA
Rfam family: Bacterial small subunit ribosomal RNA
Source: RNAcentral
GACGAACGCUGGCGGCGUGCCUAACACAUGCAAGUCGAACGGAAAGGCCCUGCGCUUGCUGGGUUCGCGAGUGGCGCACGCGUGAGUAAAACGUGAGUAACCUGCGCUUGACUGUGGGAUAACUCCAGGAAAAUGGGGCUAUUACCGCAUAGAAGCUCCUGCUGCACGGGGGGGGUUGGUGAGAUUCGGCGGUUGGGGAUGGAAUCGCGGUUUUGCAUCGUGUUGGUGGGGUGGUGGCUUACCAAGGCUUUGACGGGUAGCCGGCCUGCGAGGGUGACAGGCCACAUUGGGCCUGAGGUACGGCCCAGACUCCUACGGGAGGCAGCAGUGGGGAAUAUUGCACAAUGGGCGGCGUCCUUAUGCAGCAACGCCGCGUGCGGGAGGACGGCCUUCGGGUUGUAAACCGCUUUCGCCUGUGACGAAGCGUGAGUGACGGUAACGGGUAAAGAAGCACCGGCUAACUACGUG